RNAcentral lists this ribosomal RNA (464 nucleotides) under uncultured bacterium. RNAcentral's name for it is "partial 16S ribosomal RNA". It matches the Rfam family "Bacterial small subunit ribosomal RNA", at positions 28 to 507 of the family's 1533-position model. The record is from RNAcentral.
GAUGAACGCUGGCGGCGUGCUUAACACAUGCAAGUCGAACGGAAAGGCUCCUGCUUGCCGGGGUAUUCGAGUGGCGAACGGGUGAGUAACACGUGGGUGAUCUGCCCUGCACUUCGGGGUAAGCCUGGGAAACUGGGUCUAAUACCGGAUAGGACAACAUUUUGGAUGGUGUGGUGGAAAGUUUUUCGGUGUGGGAUGAGCUCGCGGCCUAUCAGCUUGUUGGUGGGUAAUGGCCUACCAAGGCGUCGACGGGUAGCCGGCCUGAGAGGGUGUACGGCCACAUUGGGACUGAGAUACGGCCCAGACUGCUACGGGAGGCAGCAGUGGGGAAUAUUGCACAAUGGGCGCGAGCGUGAUGCAGCGACGCCGCGUGGGGGAUGACGGCCUUCGGGUUGUAAACUCCUUUCGCUAGGGACGAAGCGCAAGUGACGGUACCUGGAGAAGAAGCACCGGCUAACUACGUG